CUUUCUUUAAAACUCAUUAUUGGCUUAAAAGGGUAAUUAUUUUGCCAUAUGGCGGAAGGUAGGAUUGGACCGAGUCACGUUCGAAAUUACAGGAGGCUGAGGGUUAAGCCACAAUCGAGACCUAUGAGUAUUGUGUCGAUAUGUACGUUUUAAAUGAAUUGGCUGUAUAUUUCUAAAAAUUCGAAUUUUUAGGAUUAAUGGUUAAUGCCAAUGAUCUAACUCAUGGUAUGUUUAUUUUAAAGGGAAUAAGAG
This 252-nucleotide long non-coding RNA is filed under the name Ananas comosus (pineapple). RNAcentral's name for it is "long non-coding RNA (ACOM_LNC005106)". The record is from RNAcentral. Lineage: Eukaryota; Viridiplantae; Streptophyta; Magnoliopsida; Poales; Bromeliaceae.